Molecule: ribosomal RNA, 154 nt
Filed under: Hymenochaete separabilis
Lineage: Eukaryota; Fungi; Basidiomycota; Agaricomycetes; Hymenochaetales; Hymenochaetaceae
Description: 5.8S ribosomal RNA
Rfam family: 5.8S ribosomal RNA
About the family: 5.8S ribosomal RNA (5.8S rRNA) is a component of the large subunit of the eukaryotic ribosome.
Source: RNAcentral
AACUUUCAACAACGGAUCUCUUGGCUCUCGCAUCGAUGAAGAACGCAGCGAAAUGCGAUAAGUAAUGUGAAUUGCAGAAUUCAGUGAAUCAUCGAAUCUUUGAACGCACCUUGCGCCCCUUGGUAUUCCGAAGGGCACGCCUGUUUGAGUGUCA